This is a long non-coding RNA of Dreissena polymorpha, 746 nucleotides long. RefSeq lists it as uncharacterized. The transcript is spliced from 2 exons. The record is from RefSeq and is a predicted model, not a curated record. Lineage: Eukaryota; Metazoa; Mollusca; Bivalvia; Myida; Dreissenidae.
CUAAGCGUAGCUUAGUUAAACAAGUAUCAGCGACUUUUGUUUUGGAAAUUGCUCUUAUAAAAUUAAGAUAUUCCUUGUAUUCGAGCUCAAUAAUUUGUGAACAUUCUUCGAUGUAUCUGUCAUGCCCAGAGGAUCUGGUCCUUGAAAUUGAUACAGCCAUAUACGGUCGUACACGUAAAGACAUCUGCCCUCAUCGCGCGAACAAGCGGACAAACUGUAAAUCGAAAACCUCCACUGAAAUCGUGAAAAAACUGUGCCAAGGGAAGCAGUUGUGCCACCUCAGUGCCAAAAAAAUAAUAUUGGGCGACCCGUGUGGUGAUACUUAUAAAUAUCUGGAGGUUACAUACGAGUGCCUCUGAGUGACACUGCGUGUUGUUACGGAUUUGUAUGUGUUUCAAAGCCCUCUGUAUAUACUGUUAAGUACUUGUGAGUUCUGACGGAAACUUAUGUUUGAAACAAUAAACAGCAUUUUGCGUGUUUGACUAUUUAUCUAGUUUGUUAUAGUUCUUUGUUAUAACUCAAUAGCAUAUACAGUUUUGAAAAAAAGCACUGUAUCCGGUCUAGUAGUUAAUUGAAAACAUAUAGCAAUGGAAACAAAUAUUAAUCAGGCAGAACCUCGACAUUUAAUAUUGAGACGUGAUUCUGUUUAUUCUCUUACUGCUAUUGAAGAAAAGGGCCCUGCAUGAUUGUUGUGUUUUUCUUUUAAUUCCCAUUUACCACUUAUUCAAAUAACAACCUGAAAUGCA